UUGUUUACCCUCUCAUCAAAUGAAAAAAGAAGAGGAUCUAAUUGCACCCUAGGGUGUGACCUAGUGGUAAAUGAAGUGGGUGGAGAACCAUAAGGUCUCAGGUUCAAAUUCAUGUGGAAGCAAAAAUACUCGGUGAUUUCUUCCCGUUUAUCCAAGCCUUGGUUGGCAGUGUCACCAGUACCUAUGGAAUUAGUGUGGGUGUACAAGCGGGCCCGUACACCACAUUUAUCAAAUAAAAAAGUGAUCUAAUUGUGUGCUUGCAUGUUUGCCUUUUAUUUCCAAGAUCACUCUCCUGCCAAGGAAAAUGAUGGAUAUCAUGUUUUUUUUCUUCGGCGCCCCUAUUUUUCUCUCAGCUCUCUGUUCUUGUGUGAGAAGUUGACAACUCCAUGUCCCCAUGGUUAGAAUAAAGCAUCUUUUUCUUUUUUCUAUGUUACUUGUUGGGAUGAGGGGAGGUGAUAUUUCACUUUCUGAGAGCUACAGUUCUUUACAAAAUUAAUAUUCUUAAGGCAUAUGUAAUUCUUGUUGCUAACAUUUCUGUUUGGAAUUUUUAGGGAUUAAGUAAAAUUUUCUUGUCUGCUUAACUUUACGCUGGAGUUACUAAUGCUCUUUUGUUUUUGUUUUUGUUUUUACUUUGCUUCACUGAGCCUAG
This 649-nucleotide long non-coding RNA is filed under the name Nicotiana benthamiana. RNAcentral describes it as "long non-coding RNA (NBEN_LNC002440)". The record is from RNAcentral. Lineage: Eukaryota; Viridiplantae; Streptophyta; Magnoliopsida; Solanales; Solanaceae.